RNAcentral lists this non-coding RNA (188 nucleotides) under Oscillospiraceae bacterium. RNAcentral's name for it is "6S RNA". It matches the Rfam family "6S / SsrS RNA". Rfam says of the family: E. coli 6S RNA was the first non coding RNA to be sequenced, but its function was unknown until recently. It consists of 184 nucleotides that fold into an extended hairpin structure with a large single-stranded internal bulge. Lineage: Bacteria; Bacillati; Bacillota; Clostridia; Eubacteriales; Oscillospiraceae. The record is from RNAcentral.
UUUUUCCUGCUUGAUUCGCGGACUGCGUUUCUAUAACCCUACGGUUUUAUUUUCGGGAGCCUUGCUCGGGUGGCGAAAUGCAGACCUCCCGGUUAAACGGAUGCAGGGAGCUAGAAAUCACACGGCAGACACCCACCUACUUUUAGUAGGAGGUUAUGAUUAACGCAAUACGGUUAAGUGGGAGUUAC